Molecule: ribosomal RNA, 497 nt
Filed under: uncultured bacterium
Lineage: Bacteria
Description: partial 16S ribosomal RNA
Rfam family: Bacterial small subunit ribosomal RNA
Source: RNAcentral
GAUGAACGCUGGCGGCGUGCCUAAUACAUGCAAGUCGAGCGAACGGACGAGAAGCUUGCUUCUCUGAUGUUAGCGGCGGACGGGUGAGUAACACGUGGAUAACCUACCUAUAAGACUGGGAUAACUUCGGGAAACCGGAGCUAAUACCGGAUAAUAUUUUGAACCGCAUGGUUCAAAAGUGAAAGACGGUCUUGCUGUCACUUAUAGAUGGAUCCGCGCUGCAUUAGCUAGUUGGUAAGGUAACGGCUUACCAAGGCAACGAUGCAUAGCCGACCUGAGAGGGUGAUCGGCCACACUGUAACUGAGACACGUUCCAGACUCCUACGGGAGGCAGCAGUAGGGAAUCUUCCGCAAUGGGCGAAAGCCUGACGGAGCAACGCCGCGUGAGUGAUGAAGGUCUUCGGAUCGUAAAACUCUGUUAUUAGGGAAGAACAUAUGUUUAAGUAACUGUGCACAUCUUGACGGUACCUAAUCAGAAAGCCACGGCUAACUACGUG